UCCCGUGAGGAGGGAGGCGAAGCUGCGCUGCCUUGCCUGACACCCGGCUUGCGAGCCGGCUUACUGCCUGCGCCUAUGCACCUCCACCAGCGUUCACCCGAGUGACUCAGGCUCCUGAAAUCGGUUUCAUGCUUCUUGAACUGGUAUGAUCGGAAAGUUAAGAAGACGGAAAAUGGAGAAGUGAGUGUCAUGUACCUCCCCAGACCUGGAGGGAAACGGAGCCGCAGCCAAAAGGAGUGGGUGUAAAUGCGACAACAAAAAUAAAUACUUUAUAUCACCCUGCAGAACUUAUUUUACUAAGUCAACAUUUUGUUUUUCUGCUGCUCACCUUUUCUUUCCUCUAGGGAGAGACAAUGCUCACUUUUUAUUAGGUAUUCCCUAAAAGUUUGUUUUGGUCCCCGCCCAGGUGUGAGUAUAUGUGCAUAUAUAUAUAUACAAUCAACAGGCUGAGGUUCAUGUGUGAGCAGAGGCGACCGGGAAGAGGGGUGAUCAGAUGCUCUUGGGUAAGAUCCCACGGCCCUACAGGCUGCAGGCAACUCAUUGCAAAGCCCCCGUUGUUCGGAGGUGAUUUAUAAAAUCGAGAACGGCGAGAUAUCAAUGUCGUUUAAGUGUGAGCACUCUGAAAAAUCAGCCUGCAGAAGAGGACUGCGAUCCACAUUCCCUCACAGGCAUUAGCGCCUUUCAAAAUAUUAUCGACAUUUUGCCGGAGGUCUCAUUGGUGUGUAGUACGGGGCUCAGGCAGGCGCUAAUUGAGCACGUAGCGUGUGCGAGGUUGCGAGAAUGAGUGUCGGGGCAGGCUCACACAGCGGCAGAAAUGGGAGCGAUGGGUAGAAGGGAAGGAGCGUCACAGGCCCCCGCGCAGUGCGUGUUGGUGUGACACAUCUCGUUAUUACUUCAAUACGUUCCCUGCCUUUUCGGGAUUUCUAAGGGUCGUUUUCAAUUUUUUUUCCCCCCCCGUCCGCCUUUGGGCUACUGGGUUGAAGGAUCAGCCCGUAGCCACACGGCGAUCCGACCCAGCACAUGGAAGGGCGGUGGGGGUCAGAGCCCCGACGCUGCGCUCCUCUCGGGGCGCUCGCUCGGGGACAGGGGCAGCCCCUCCGGGAGCGGCCGGAGAUGCUCAGCCGUGCCCCGGCAGUGUCCGGGGGGCCGCGGGCACCCCUCCCGCCGGUGCUGGAGAUGCCAGAGGUCGAGGGAGAGGCGGAGGGCUGGCCCCCUGCCCAGCGCACCUCACGGGGGAGGGCGGCCCGGGAGCAGCCCCGCCGGGCUGGGGGCGGCUGGAAAGGGUUAAGCGCUUCCCCUCCUCCUGCUGUAGCCCCCUGAAUGCCACUGCUUUCCUCUAGAGGUCUCAUUAGGGAAACCCUAACUGCUAUUUUCAACGUUUCCUCAAUCAAGCGCCUUUAAAUAGAGCUCCACAAACAAAUUGGCGGCAAAAAGCGCAGAUCUUGUCACGGGCGAGGCCGAUUCAAUAUUUCACCCUU
Molecule: long non-coding RNA, 1478 nt
Organism: Poecile atricapillus (Black-capped chickadee)
Lineage: Eukaryota; Metazoa; Chordata; Aves; Passeriformes; Paridae
Exons: 3
Source: RefSeq, a predicted model, not a curated record